This 256-nucleotide ribosomal RNA is filed under the name uncultured bacterium. RNAcentral describes it as "partial 16S ribosomal RNA". It matches the Rfam family "Bacterial small subunit ribosomal RNA", at positions 793 to 1055 of the family's 1533-position model. The record is from RNAcentral.
GUCCACACUGUAAACGUUGAUGACUCGAUGUUGGCGAUACACAGCCAGCGUCCAAGAGCAAUCGUUAAGUCAUCCACCUGGGGAGUACGCCGGCAACGGUGAAACUCAAAGGAAUUGACGGGGUCGCACAAGCGGUGGAGCAUGUGGUUUAAUUCGAUGAUACGCGAGGAACCUUACCUGGGCUAGAAUGCCCUUGAUGGGUACAUAGAUGUAUCGUUCCGCAAGGACAAGGAGCAAGGUGCUGCAUGGCUGUCGU